This 510-nucleotide unclassified non-coding RNA is filed under the name Hevea brasiliensis (rubber tree). Lineage: Eukaryota; Viridiplantae; Streptophyta; Magnoliopsida; Malpighiales; Euphorbiaceae. The record is from RNAcentral.
GCAGAAUUUGAGGAUGCCAAUUUGAAAGAGAAGCACGAUCUCCAGUCAUUGUUCUUAAGUUGGGGUGGAAGUGUUAGUGAAAACAGUAUAGACACUGUGUACGAUCCAAACUCAUUGCAACGUCUACAGCCUCAUGCAAAUCUUAAGAUGUUGGGCAUGCAUGCAUAUGGAGGUCUGGAGUUCCCAAACUGGUUUUCUUCCCUUACAAAUCUAGUCUCUAUUGAGAUUGCAGAUUGCAGUAGAUGUCAGCAUCUCCCAUUGUUGGAUCAAAUCCCUUCUCUUAAAAAUUUAUGGCUUCAUAAUUUGACCGACAUAGAGUAUAUAGAUGGUGGUAACAAUCAUUUUCAUGGUGGAGGAGUAAGAGGAGCAACAUUCUUCCCAUGCCUGAAGACGCUUAGUCUACUGAAUUGUCCUAAUCUGAAGGGAUGGAAUAAGCAGGUGGAUGAUGAUUCAACAACUACAACAGUAGCAAAACUGCCGUGGUUUCCUUGUCUUUCUUUGUUAGAAAUA